CGAAAUGCGAUACUUGGUGUGAAUUGCAGGAUCCCGCGAACCACCGAGUCUUUGAACGCAAGUUGCGCCCGGAGCCUUCUGGCCGAGGGCACGUCUGCCUGGGCGUC
Molecule: ribosomal RNA, 107 nt
Filed under: Parasicyos maculatus
Lineage: Eukaryota; Viridiplantae; Streptophyta; Magnoliopsida; Cucurbitales; Cucurbitaceae
Description: partial 5.8S ribosomal RNA
Rfam family: 5.8S ribosomal RNA
About the family: 5.8S ribosomal RNA (5.8S rRNA) is a component of the large subunit of the eukaryotic ribosome. It is transcribed by RNA polymerase I as part of the 45S precursor that also contains 18S and 28S rRNA.
Source: RNAcentral